GAUGAAGAACGCAGCGAAAUGCGAUAAGUAAUGUGAAUUGCAGAAUUCAGUGAAUCAUCGAAUCUUUGAACGCACAUUGCGCCCCUUGGUAUUCCGGGGGGCAUGCCUGUUCGAGCGUCAUUAUAACCCCUCAAGCUCAGCUUGGUGUUGGGGCCUGCCAACUGGCAGCCCUUAAAAUCAGUGGCGGCGCCAUCUGGCUCUAAGCGUAGUAAUUUCUCUCGCUAUAGGGUCCCGGUGGAUGCUGGCCAACAACCCCCAAUUUUCUAUGGUUGACCUCGGAUCAGGUAGGGAUACCCGCUGAACUUAAGCAUAUCAAUAAGCGAGGA
This 326-nucleotide unclassified non-coding RNA is filed under the name soil metagenome. RNAcentral's name for it is "partial contains 5.8S ribosomal RNA, internal transcribed spacer 2, and large subunit ribosomal RNA". The stretch from base 1 to 120 matches the Rfam family "5.8S ribosomal RNA", at positions 35 to 154 of the family's 154-position model. The record is from RNAcentral.